This 1138-nucleotide ribosomal RNA is filed under the name Salmonella enterica. Its description in RNAcentral is "partial 23S ribosomal RNA". It matches the Rfam family "Bacterial large subunit ribosomal RNA", at positions 1196 to 2316 of the family's 2925-position model. RNAcentral also lists the same sequence under 1 other name. Lineage: Bacteria; Pseudomonadati; Pseudomonadota; Gammaproteobacteria; Enterobacterales; Enterobacteriaceae. The record is from RNAcentral.
GAAGCUGCGGCAGCGACACUGUGUGUUGUUGGGUAGGGGAGCGUUCUGUAAGCCUGUGAAGGUGUGUCGUGAGGCAUGCUGGAGGUAUCAGAAGUGCGAAUGCUGACAUAAGUAACGAUAAAGCGGGUGAAAAGCCCGCUCGCCGGAAGACCAAGGGUUCCUGUCCAACGUUAAUCGGGGCAGGGUGAGUCGACCCCUAAGGCGAGGCCGAAAGGCGUAGUCGAUGGGAAACGGGUUAAUAUUCCCGUACUUGGUGUUACUGCGAAGGGGGGACGGAGAAGGCUAUGUUGGCCGGGCGACGGUUGUCCCGGUUUAAGCGUGUAGGUGUGUGUUCCAGGUAAAUCCGGUUCACUUUAACACUGAGGCGUGACGACGAGGCACUACGGUGCUGAAGCAACAAAUGCCCUGCUUCCAGGAAAAGCCUCUAAGCAUCAGGUAACAUCAAAUCGUACCCCAAACCGACACAGGUGGUCAGGUAGAGAAUACCAAGGCGCUUGAGAGAACUCGGGUGAAGGAACUAGGCAAAAUGGUGCCGUAACUUCGGGAGAAGGCACGCUGACACGUAGGUGAAGUGAUUUACUCAUGGAGCUGAAGUCAGUCGAAGAUACCAGCUGGCUGCAACUGUUUAUUAAAAACACAGCACUGUGCAAACACGAAAGUGGACGUAUACGGUGUGACGCCUGCCCGGUGCCGGAAGGUUAAUUGAUGGGGUCAGCGCAAGCGAAGCUCCUGAUCGAAGCCCCGGUAAACGGCGGCCGUAACUAUAACGGUCCUAAGGUAGCGAAAUUCCUUGUCGGGUAAGUUCCGACCUGCACGAAUGGCGUAAUGAUGGCCAGGCUGUCUCCACCCGAGACUCAGUGAAAUUGAACUCGCUGUGAAGAUGCAGUGUACCCGCGGCAAGACGGAAAGACCCCGUGAACCUUUACUAUAGCUUGACACUGAACAUUGAGCCUUGAUGUGUAGGAUAGGUGGGAGGCUUUGAAGUGUGGACGCCAGUCUGCAUGGAGCCGACCUUGAAAUACCACCCUUUAAUGUUUGAUGUUCUAACGUGGACCCGUUACCCGGGUUGCGGACAGUGUCUGGUGGGUAGUUUGACUGGGGCGGUCUCCUCCUAAAGAGUAACGGAGGAGCACGAAGG